This 689-nucleotide ribosomal RNA is filed under the name Flavobacterium sp. B1050. RNAcentral's name for it is "bacterial SSU rRNA". It matches the Rfam family "Bacterial small subunit ribosomal RNA", at positions 72 to 761 of the family's 1533-position model. The record is from RNAcentral. Lineage: Bacteria; Pseudomonadati; Bacteroidota; Flavobacteriia; Flavobacteriales; Flavobacteriaceae.
AUGCUUCUUCGGGAGCAGAGACCGGCGCACGGGUGCGUAACGCGUAUGCAAUCUACCUUUCACAGAGGGAUAGCCCAGAGAAAUUUGGAUUAAUACCUCAUAGUAUAGCAGUUUCGCAUGAAACCACUAUUAAAGUCACAACGGUGAAAGAUGAGCAUGCGUCCCAUUAGCUAGUUGGUAAGGUAACGGCUUACCAAGGCAACGAUGGGUAGGGGUCCUGAGAGGGAGAUCCCCCACACUGGUACUGAGACACGGACCAGACUCCUACGGGAGGCAGCAGUGAGGAAUAUUGGACAAUGGGCGCAAGCCUGAUCCAGCCAUGCCGCGUGCAGGAUGACGGUCCUAUGGAUUGUAAACUGCUUUUAUACGAGAAGAAACCCUCCGACGUGUCGGAGCUUGACGGUAUCGUAAGAAUAAGGAUCGGCUAACUCCGUGCCAGCAGCCGCGGUAAUACGGAGGAUCCAAGCGUUAUCCGGAAUCAUUGGGUUUAAAGGGUCCGUAGGCGGUCAGGUAAGUCAGUGGUGAAAGCCCAUCGCUCAACGGUGGAACGGCCAUUGAUACUGUCUGACUUGAAUUAUUAGGAAGUAACUAGAAUAUGUAGUGUAGCGGUGAAAUGCUUAGAGAUUACAUGGAAUACCAAUUGCGAAGGCAGGUUACUACUAAUGGAUUGACGCUGAUGGACGAAAGCG